Populus trichocarpa (black cottonwood) is the source of this 494-nucleotide long non-coding RNA. RefSeq lists it as uncharacterized. Lineage: Eukaryota; Viridiplantae; Streptophyta; Magnoliopsida; Malpighiales; Salicaceae. The transcript is spliced from 3 exons. The record is from RefSeq and is a predicted model, not a curated record.
ACCUUUAGAAACGUAAAAGAACAACAAAACCAGCAGCUGAAAAUUAAUUACCUUCCCAUCUUCUUCGUCCCUAAUAACACACUUAGCUGUAGAAAAAUCACCCUUUCUUCAUCAAUUUGAUUUUUCUUUGUCCCAAACUUUUCAUCUUCUUCCCAUUCGUCUUCAACAUCACUAAUUUUUUUUCUUCAUCUUCUUCUCCUUCAUCUUAACAGUUUCAAUCUUUAUCUGUAAACCACCAAAAUCACAGACCCAUGGCAACAAAGAACCAGACCCAGCAUAAUCACCAGCGAACAUCCUGAUUUACCCCUUCUCUCUAUAAACGGGGUGGGUUUUGCAGUAUUUUCUUCAUUAAUUCAGGUGUUAUUUUGUCUUGUAGAUUCAUCCCGUUCACCUAUAACUCAAGAACACAGUGUUACAGGAGUGUAUGGAUGCUGUUGAAAUCUAGAUAGUCUAGCAACUGGUUAACCUGUGAUGCUCUGCUUCUGUAGCAGUCC